Molecule: non-coding RNA, 84 nt
Organism: Bombyx mori (domestic silkworm)
Lineage: Eukaryota; Metazoa; Arthropoda; Insecta; Lepidoptera; Bombycidae
Source: Rfam
UUAACUCAAAUUUACAUGGAGUUGGAAUGUUUGCCUACGUUUGUCGCCAGGGACGGUGUUCCAACUACAUACAAAUUCGCGUUA